This 72-nucleotide transfer RNA is filed under the name Planctomycetaceae bacterium SCGC AG-212-F19. It matches the Rfam family "tRNA". From Rfam's summary of the family: Transfer RNA (tRNA) molecules are approximately 80 nucleotides in length. The record is from Rfam by way of RNAcentral. Lineage: Bacteria; Pseudomonadati; Planctomycetota; Planctomycetia; Planctomycetales; Planctomycetaceae.
GUGCGUGUGGUGUAAAGGCAGCACGCGACCCUGUGAAGGUCUGAGUGGCGGGUUCAAGUCCCCCCAUGCACC